RNAcentral lists this ribosomal RNA (419 nucleotides) under uncultured bacterium. Its description in RNAcentral is "partial 16S ribosomal RNA". It matches the Rfam family "Bacterial small subunit ribosomal RNA", at positions 360 to 776 of the family's 1533-position model. The record is from RNAcentral.
AAUAUUGGUCAAUGGGCGCAAGCCUGAACCAGCCACGUCGCGUGAAGGAAGACGGCCNNNCGGGUNGUAAACUUCUUUUGUCGNGGCNUAAAGUGUAGUGCGUGUACUAUUUUGCAUGUACCUUACGAAUAAGGAUCGGCCCACUCCGCGCCAGCCGCCGCGGUAAUACGGAGGAUCCGAGCGUUAUCCGGAUUUAUUGGGUUUAAAGGGUGCGCAGGCGGGAGAUUAAGUCGGCAGUGAAAUUUUGCAGCUUAACUGUAAAAGUGCCUUCGAAACUGGUUUCCUUGAGUGUGGAAGAAGGAGGCGGAAUUUGUGGUGUAGCGGUGAAAUGCAUAGAGAUCACGAGGAACUCCGAUUGCGCAGGCAGCUUACUAAACUGCUACUGACGCUCAUGCACGAAGGCGUGGGGAUCAAACAGG